Small nuclear RNA from Phyllostomus discolor (pale spear-nosed bat), 186 nucleotides. RefSeq annotates it as U2 spliceosomal RNA. The record is from RefSeq and is a predicted model, not a curated record. The transcript has a single exon. Lineage: Eukaryota; Metazoa; Chordata; Mammalia; Chiroptera; Phyllostomidae.
ACCAUGUCUCAGCCUUUUGGCUAAGAUCGAGUGUGCGUAUUCUUACCACUUUAACAUCCAAUACAUCUCUCUCUGAGAACAAUGUAUUACAUGGAUUUUUGGAGCAGGGGGAUAGAACAGGAACUUGCCCCAUCCAUGCCUGCAUUAACCUGGUAUUAUGUUAUCUCUGGGAAUGGUGUGCCACCU